AAGCGCGUAUCUUAUUGCCCAUCAUCCUUGAGCUUCGCUAUAAUUGUGUUAUAAUUUCCAUCCUCGCAGUCCUAUAAUAGUAAGUAACCAUCCACCUGGUCCACAGUCCAAGGUUGGUCCAUGUUUGUGAACUUGUAAUUGAGAGUAUGAUGCCUGUGCAAAACAGAUGCAGAGUAUGUACUUCGCAAUAGAAGCGAGCAACGGCAUCCUUGUCUGAAACAGAAACACUCUAGUUUUGGUUGUGUUCGACCGGAUUGAUUAUUACUACUUCAUUUGGACUAAAUCCGAAAAAAAAUAAGAGAAAUGUGCUGGUUCUAUAUCACCCACCUAUUUUACAUGGAGCUACUCUGAAGGUUUUUUUUAAAAACCUAGUGUUCGCCACCACUCACUUCAGGGCAUUAGGUGCUGCAACGAAGUUUGUUUUGGGCUCCAAGGUUGUGAUGAUUCGUAGGUGUGCGUUUAGCCCCACAUCGAUUAUUCGCCGAAGUAAAAUUUUGAAACAUGACAAAGUGGUAUUAGAGCGAACUCAACCAAUGGUGAAGUCCAUUUUGGAAAAAUAGAAUUAUCUUCCCUUAACCUGCAAUAAACUACUCCAUGUUAUGCAUUGAGAAAAUUUCCUGUGUGUGAGCUACCUUUUACCAAAAAAAAAAAAGAAUUUUUUUAUUAUUCUAAAUAAAUUUAUUUAUUUAUCGGAUGAGACUGGGUUGCUUUGCCGGAGCCGCGCAGUUUUUCACGUGGUUGACAGGUGCCAUGUUUCUCGCACGAUAAGCUUCAGAGGCGGUUCAUAAAAAAAAAAAAAAAAAGGCUUCAGAGGUUCGCUCGGGCCUCGCGUCCAGCUGCAGCAUCGGAUUCCGGGCCCAUCGAAAUCUGAGACGUCACGGGCUCGAUGGAGAUCGAAGAGAUAUGAUGGCCGCAGAUGGAUAACCCGCAUUCCUGCCCGGAAGGCUUUCGAUGGAAUGCCUCACCCAGAAGCGGCGUCCUGCAGCUCAUCGUCGCAGAUCCUUUGUGUGACUGAGUUGACGAGGAUCUUUUCUCCGCUAGUGGGUCCACGCUAUGGCUUGGGUGGAAGUAUGGUUACUGGGUUUCUGGACUGGCUAUUCCUGUGCUAAGAUUUCUAGGUCCAUUACAUGAUAGUGUAUCGCCACCAGUGAAUCCAGAGGCGAGAAUUGCAUGGUCUAGCUUUUAUGGGCAUGCUCGCAUUCAAAGGAUUCAGAGAGCUUGCUGAAGGCCCAGGAUAUAUCAGCCGAUCAUGUACUUUUUAUCGAUGUCCCGUAAGGUGCCAAAGUAGAAUGAAUCCUAUUAGGAGUGAUGUGAUUAGCCUCCAAGAACUCUUAGAGAAAUGAUAAGCCACGGCAAAAUGGCAUCAUACAUGUGGAAUAUGUAGUCAGGUAACAGAGUAACCAACAUUGCUUUACCAUUCCUGCCACCACCUUGAGGAAGAAACUGCCAGGUUAGCCAGAAUAUGUAAUAGCUUGUUUGUUUGGAAAGCAUACAUGAGUAAUUGUGUAAAUUCCAAAUAUAAAGGAUGUAUCUAUAACAUAACAAGUGAGAUCAUUAUCAUGUAGUAACUGGCUUGCACCUUCGACUAAGAAAGUUGAAAGAUUGCUGCAAUGGCUUCCAUAUUCACUCCAUGGAUAUUGCUCCUUCUUAUCACCACCAUCCUCUCCAUUUCUCUCCUUCCAAUUUCCGUUUGUGCUGAUGCAGACAAAUAGGUGAGUAUUAAUCUAUGAUGCGCACUAAUUUGUAUGCAGUAGGUCAUGGGUAUUUGCUAUUAUUUGAUGCUAUAAAGCUAUUGAGCAGCGAGAUGAAUUAAUGGGUUGGGAAUCAUUUCAUACGACAGGUUUGGAGCAUACAUGGUGGAGAAGCUGCAUGAUGAGUACUCAACCAUCUAUCCACCAUGGUUUAUUGGAGGAAGUGCUAGAACAGGCAUGUAGGGAAUAGUUUUGGUGUUUCCAAGCAAAACCCUGGAGCUCCACACCACAAAUUCAUGGAAUUUUCUAGGCCUUUAUGACACAAUACCAAAUGGGAUGCUGGAGAGCAACAUCAUAGUCGGCAUGCUUGACACUGGACAUUGGCUGGAACACGAGAGCUUUAGAGAUGAUGCUCAUAGUCCACCACCAGGGACAUUCCGUAAACUCUUUCCCCAGAGGACAGGUCCUAUCAUUUAUAUAUGCAGGCAAUGUGCAAACUAAGUCUUUUGUUGAUGAGUCAAGUCUAUCAUACAGGUAAUGUGAACCGGGCUCGGUGGAUAGUGAUCUGGAGAAGGGUAAGAUUGUUCUGUGUAAAGCAAUUCAUGAAAAGGGCCUUCGUUGAUGCAGCUCGGGGGACUGUCAUACUAAGCAAUUACUAUCCUGAUUUUGCACUGGUGUACCCACUACCAGCAACCAUCAUCUGUACUGCUGAGGUUGAGAGGCUUAAAAAGUACUUGGGUGACACUAGGUAUGCGGUAUCUUUAGGUCUACUUAAUGUGUUCCAUAUAAGCGUUUGUGCAUGCAAAGAAAGGAUUGUUAGGAUCUAUCAAAUGUUGGAUUGUGUUUUUGUUGAUUGGGAAGAAACCAUAUAUGAAGCAUCUCUGAUGACCUUUUGAGCAGGAAUCCAGUGGCUAAGAUCCAUAAGAGCAAACAAAUUCAGAAUUUGACAGGACCGAUUGUUGCUUCUCUUCUAGAGGAUCAAAGAUGAUCACUCCUGAUAUUCUGAAGGUACCAGUGAGCUCAUGUUUCUUAUUUUUCAUGAUUGAGCCAAUGAGAGAUAAUAUCUGGCAGUAAUAUGUCCAGCUAGUUGUCCCUACCUGGAAUUUGGCGUAAUUGCAGAAUGAAGUUGCUUUCCCAGUUUCCACUUGUAGGGCUUUGAUUCAGCCAGAGCAUUUACCUCCUAAAUCAUAUGUUCAUCAUCGUAAACUUGUUUAGCAACCUUAAGCACAGAAGCAAAUAUAUGAUAAAAAUUCAAAUAAUAAUAAAAAGUGAAAACUCCUCAAUUUUGUUGAAAAUUCAAAUAUCUUCUUAUUUCUUGCUUAUUUUGUUGUGUAUGUAUGUCUCUGCUUGUGUUUGUGUUCUUCUGUGUCUUCAAUAAUCUCACGCACUCACUUAGUAUGCACCAUCCAGCUCAGAAAUGGUCAGGACAAGCUCAACUAAUUGGUACUCUGGGCUGUAAUUCUAUCUCAUGGCUAGGUGAGCCCACUAGAACAUUCAUUCAGCUCACCUGCAAAGUAAGAAUGGCCAUCCAAGUUGGGUUUGCCAAAUCUGAGCAGCAUGUAUUGCAUAAUCGAUAUACUGUCCCAAUUCUUGUUCUCAGGGUUCAACAAGCAUGGGCUCUUGAAGAACUUCAAACUCUUGCACUUUUGUCUCGGAAUUUUAAAAGAAUUAUUGAAAAUACAAGAACGAAAUGCAGUGUCAAAACCAUGGAAGCAAUGGAUUCUUUUCUUCUAUUAUAUGUUAGCAAUAGCAUAAUAUCAUGAUGGACGCACCAUAAUUUAUCAUUAUUUCAUUGUAAUAUAAUAUUCUCUCAAGACCAAGAUGACAAGAUAUGAAGAGGAGACCCCGCGUGCCUAAGUUUAACAUAUUGUCUGGAUUUCGGAACAUCUAUGGCUUCCUCUCAUGCAACUGGCGUCGCCACUGCAUAUACGAAAUCAUUACACUCUGAUUGGACACCAGUUACGACAACUCAAGACCUCCCCAAAAAGACUAGCUAGAAGGUAUUUUUUGAGUUUUUUAGUCAUGUAUAAGUAUCCAAGAUUUUCUUGGCAAAUAAUCGAUGUGAGACUAAACACACGUCCGCACGGGUCUUCACAUACUCCUCCCGUUCAAGCCUGGACAUUUUCAUGAGGCUAAGAAUUCAAAUCUAAUCGCAAGCGCCAUAUCAACUUGUGGUCAGCUUUCAUGAACCUGUGUUACAGUGUCCCCUGGUUCACAUAGGCUAUGGGCCGAGUUUGCUCUGAUACCAUUUGUCAAUCUCAUUUGAAAAAGACUAAGCUGAAAGGUAUUUUUUUUUGUUUCUUAGUCCAGUACCCAAAAUCUUCUUGGCGAAUGAUUGAUGUGAGACAAAACACACGCCUAUACGAGUUCUUACACCAGCAGCGAUCAAGUCUGCUUUCAUAAUUGAUGGUAACCUAUUCCUUCACACUAGCAGCGAUCAAGUUUGCUUUGAUAAUUGAUGGUAACCUAUUCCUUCCCUUCCAAAGUUCCUCUCAAAUCAUGCAUUUUUUGCAUGCUGCUUGAUUCUUAUGUAUGCAAAAUAGUAGCAUCGUAUUCACUUUGAAGAAUGAGGGGCUUGUUUCUGGUAUGGUGGGUGCGGCUCGUCCAUUGAAUGCUUCCAACAAUCCAGAUGCUGAAUUAGCGAAUGGCGCUGGUCAAGUCAAUCCUUAUGCUGCUGUUAAUCCUGGAGUUUAUCUAUGAAAUCGGUGCAGGCGAUGAUGUACAAAUACUGUGCAACCAAGGCUACCGUACCAGGAAGCUAGGCUCAUAGCUGGACAUGCAACCAGUCGCCUCGAGGAAUCUAAAGGAAGCCUAGGGACCUAAAUUACCCAUCCAUGGGGAAGGACUGUCUAUGAAUGAAAUCGCCUCAGCUUCAUUGGCGUGGUCCGAUGGUGUGCAUAGUGUGUCACACUUGUGACAGGGGAUUUAAUAAGUUUAUUGGUUCGCAUGCCUCCAUAGCCUGUAACCUGUAGAUCCUAUAUUUGAUCAUUAUGUAAGACAUAUUCUCUCU
Phoenix dactylifera (date palm) is the source of this 4701-nucleotide non-coding RNA. The record is from RefSeq and is a predicted model, not a curated record. NCBI's taxonomy places the organism in Eukaryota, Viridiplantae, Streptophyta, Magnoliopsida, Arecales, Arecaceae.